AUAUUAUUAAGGGGGAGGAAAAGAAACUAACAAGGAUUCCCCUAGUAACGGCGAGUGAAGCGGGAAGAGCUCAAACUUAAAAUCCACGGGUGUAACAACUCGCGGAGAUGUAGUCUGGAGACGUACCCUCAGUGCGAGGCCGGCUAUAAGUCCCUUGGAAUGGGGCAUCAUAGAGGGUGAGAAUCCCGUCUUUGAGCUGGAUCUCUGUGCGUACGAGGUGCGUUCCAAGAGUCGCGUUGCUUGGGAGUGCAGCGCAAAAUGGGUGGUAAAUGCCAUCUAAAGCUAAAUAUUGGCGAGAGACCGAUAGCGCACAAGUA
This 317-nucleotide ribosomal RNA is filed under the name uncultured eukaryote. Its description in RNAcentral is "partial large subunit ribosomal RNA". It matches the Rfam family "Eukaryotic large subunit ribosomal RNA", at positions 40 to 350 of the family's 3401-position model. The record is from RNAcentral.